This is a long non-coding RNA of Pseudophryne corroboree (corroboree frog), 494 nucleotides long. RefSeq lists it as uncharacterized. The record is from RefSeq and is a predicted model, not a curated record. The transcript has 3 exons. NCBI's taxonomy places the organism in Eukaryota, Metazoa, Chordata, Amphibia, Anura, Myobatrachidae.
CACACACACAGUGCCCGGCGGGUCACAGGCACUCUCUCGCCCUAUGUGGAGACCAUCUGCAAGUGCACCUGGACCAGGCGUCGCCCACCUAUUCAAACCGACCUAUGACCCCUCCAGUACAGUAAAUGACCAGCCCUUUGACCUAUGGGUGAAGAGAUUACAGUUUCUAUUGAAUCAUGAUUUGGACAAAUGGCCGGUCAUUGACAUUCUCUGAAGGUAAUCUAUCCUGAGGACCAGGACCGGGUGGCGCUGGCGAAACAAACUGGAGACCAUCUGCAAGUGCACCUGGACCAGGCAUCGCCCACCUAUUCAAACCGACCUAUGACCCCUCCAGUACUGUAAAUGACCAGCCCUUUGACCUAUGGGUGAAGAGAUUACAGUUUCUAUUGAAUCAUGAUUUGGACAAAUGUAUCAAAGCCACGCUGCCUGGCCGGUCAUUGACAUUCUCUGAAGGUAAUCUAUCCUGAGGACCAGGACCGUGUGGCGCCUGCGAA